AUGAUGGACUAUAGGACAGGACUGCUGCUGCUCACUGUCUGCUGGGCAGGUGUUGAUGGUCAGACUCUGACAGAAUCUGAACCAGUGACUAAAAGCCCUGGAGAUUCUCAUAGAUUGACCUGUACAGCCUCUGGAUUCACAUUCAGUAGCUACGGGAUGCACUGGGUCAGACAGGCUCCUGGAAAAGGACUGGAGUGGAUCGCUUAUAUCAGUGAAAGCAGUAGCUACAUCUACUACUCUGAGUCAGUGAAAGGCCGCUUCACCAUCUCCAGAGACAACAACAGACAGCAGGUGUAUCUGCAGAUGAGCAGUCUGACGGCUGUAGACUCUGCUGUUUAUUACUGUGCUCGAGAAACACAGUGA
Molecule: non-coding RNA, 363 nt
Organism: Eleginops maclovinus (Patagonian blennie)
Lineage: Eukaryota; Metazoa; Chordata; Actinopteri; Perciformes; Eleginopidae
Source: the annotation of a RefSeq genome assembly